Molecule: long non-coding RNA, 3649 nt
Filed under: Gallus gallus (chicken)
Lineage: Eukaryota; Metazoa; Chordata; Aves; Galliformes; Phasianidae
Description: lncRNA (ENSGALG00010008917.1)
Source: RNAcentral
UUUUAAAGGUACAAUACAGUGAAAUGAGAUUACAUGGUGAAAUCACUGUUUUCUACUUUUUGAAGGAAAUCUUAGUUUUUCCUAAGCAACUGCACAUCUAUACCUAUACAGUCACCACUGCCUAUUUUUCCUCCUGGAAAGAAAAAAAAAAGAUAAGCAAAAAAAUUAAGAGAAAACUCAUUGGUAGCAAACAUUUCUGCAAUGUUAUGUCUACGCUGUAUAAAACAGAAAUAAAUACGUAUCCUCAGUGAAUAGGCAGUUAAUCACCAGAAAUCUAGUAGAGGUUUGGGCGUUGCAUUUCUGUUUUUGAACAUUUUGGAAGUUUGAGAUGACAGUGACAGAUGGAAGCACAGUUCUUGGCAAGUGGUUGGAGCUCUAGGUGGGGUAGGUGACAGGGGCAAGUGAACAUGCUAGAGAGGGAGUGGAGGUGAAUCUCUUCCAGAUUUGUCUUUGCUGAAACAAAAAUCUGUCUUGAGAAGAAUUUCAAAAGAUGCAAUUUGGAUACCAGAGGCAUACAGAAAGCCAGAGCUGCCACUCCACCCCAUGACUUCUCUUGCAAGAUGAAUAUGUGCUCAGUGAGAUCUCUGCUGGUGCAAACCGCUGUACUCCAGGAACAUACACGAGAAGACACACUCCUCUAAUCUCCCUUGAGUCUGCUGAAUUCACACAACUUUUCUGGAAACAAACAUUUUUGAAUUAAAGCUCUGCUUAAGAAAUUACGCUGAUUGAGAUGUUCACAAUGCCCUCCUUGUCAAUAUCCUCCUUUAAGUCUUUACUUGGAACACAGGUGGAAAUAAAAGCAGAUGAAUACAAGUGACAGAAAAAUACUCGGUAGGACUGAAACACAGAGUGAGCAGCUGAAACCAGUGCUCCCACGUACACUGGAAAAGGUGUGUUUCACACACUAUUAGCUGAAACCACCUGUAGCCAUCUUGAGUAUGCAAUCACACCAAGUCUUAGUGUAACAGAGCUCUCAGAAAAGCUGCUGCAGAGAGACUGAAGAAUCAUUGGAAGAGUAAGAAUCUUUCAGAACACGGGCAUCUGGCAAGAAAAGUAUUUACAACAGCAUUAUUUCAACAGAAGAGAAGGAUUGCUCAAGGAAGCAGGAGAGAAGAGUACCCAUUCCCAGAGGUGUUCCAGAACCAUGGAGAUGUGGCUCUGAGGAACACGGUCAGUGGGCAUGGUGGGAGUGGGUUGGGGUUGGACCUGAUGAUUCUAGAGGUCCUUUCCAACCUUAAUGAUUUAUGACUAGAUGUAAGUUGUAUUUAAGCGACACAUGGAUGGAAGAGCAUAUAUUAGUGCAAAACCAAAGAAAGACAUUUCCUCCAGAUAUAAAUCCAGUACUAUGAAGGCUGAAAUGGGGAUGGGGAUACCCUUUCUGCCAUUACAAGUUAUGAAGCAUCUCACGUCAACUUCCUUCUUACAUAAUACAGAGUGAUAAAUCUGCUUGACAUAAAUCACUUAUGAAGGAACACAAGCUUACUAAAUAUAUCUCUAAAUCAAGGGCAGAUUUCUUUCUCAGUAUAAGAUCAAAAGCUCAAGUUAUAUUUAAGCUCUAAUGAGAAGCAGCCUUAUUUAUUGGUGGUGGUUGGGUCAUGGGGCCAGGAAAGCUCCUGUGUUCUAAUCCUGCAGCAUAUCCAUACUUUACAGUUUUGGAGAAGUCUGUUACUCCAUUUCUCCAUCACAUAAGCAGAGAUUUUAUUAUUUAGUUACCUCAUAAUGGCCUUAAGAGAAUGUUUACAAUCAUUCUGUAUUGUUUUUAAUAAACUUCGGUCCUGAUCCUGCAGGAUCUGUAUUCUAAAUCUGAACUAUUUAGAUCUAAUCUAAAAGAAAUCAUAGAAAAAGGUGAAAAUAAAGAAAAAAGUGAUUAUUACAUUACAAUAAUACAAUUUCAAUUCUGAAACAUCAUUAUAAGAAAAUUAAUGAUGACGGGACGAAAGGAUCCUUACUUCUGAUUGGCAUAUUUCUUAGGUUGCUCCAAAAGUAAUAUUUAUUUCCAUGGAAACUGCAACAGAUGCAAUGAGCACAGUAAUAUGGUGUGAUAGAACGAAUUCUCAGCUAUCAUAUACUAUCUUGAAAAAGUAACCACCAUUGGCAACGCAUUUUUGCCAGGGAUGAACAAGAGCCUGCGUGCCACGCUAGUCAAAAUCUGCACCAGUGGAGGUGACCCACUGUCACUGUCACCACUGCUGAAAUGUACCACCCACAGCCUCACUAUGUUCACAUUCACUGGUUGGUCUCCAGAAAUGGAUGUUAAUGGGUACUGUUUUUUCUGCAUGGAGAAAUUCAGUGACACACCUUUGAUUCAUACACGCUUUCAUGUCAAGUGCUAUUUUAUCAGGCUGCCCCUCUGCUGUCAUCUCUCACACAGCAACUACAUGUAAUGGGAUAUUGGUGAGAAGGUCAAACCUCUACUGCCAUACCACCAACAUCUGUCUCUGGCUCCACAGAGCCAUGAGCGUCUCAGCAGCACACAAUGAAUAGGUAUCACUGCUGCAAGGAGGAGGAAGAGGAUACAUCUGGAAACAACUCUCUGCUCUGCAGGCUCUACUGACACCUGGCGUGCAGCUCAUCUGCAGCCUUAUGUCCAGGAUCCCUGUGCUGCACAUGCCCACAGAGUGCCUCUGCACCCCAGAGCAACAGACCUCAUGGUGAAAACACAAACACUGGUCAGCCACAAUUUUCUCUCAUCUCCCUUCUGGUUCAAGCAAGAAGGGAGGCUCUUCAAACUGUGCUAUGAGCAAGGAGAUGUCAGUCUUGGUGUGACUUCCUCAAAGGAUUGGUGUUGUGACGCACAAGAGGAAACAUGCAGCAGCCAAGGCAUCAAGAGGACUGGGAGGCAUGUAUGGUGCAAGCCAACCGUGCAAGUGUUGUGCUCAAGCACAAUGCUUCUAAUAGCAUGUGAGCAGGUGCUAAAUCUGUGUGUUUAUUAAAAACAAACUUGCUUAUGGUAGUGCCUCUCACAUUUUAUUAGUGGGAGUCUAUCCAAGUGCCCCCAAUACUGACAUUCCACUAUUGUCUUAAAAGAUAGAAACCACAUCCUAUGGCAAAGCAUUUGUGAGCCUUUGAGGGCUUUGUAAGUUGAACAAUCUUAGGAAUCUACCCACAGUUAAAUUUUCUGGAUUCUGCACAAGGGACAGAAAUAAGAAAAUAAAAUAAAAAAGCUUCUCUUCCAAGUCUCAGCUUGAAUUUGUAGUAUUUACAUUUUGAACAGUUUGAAAAAUGCAGCACCUUUUCCCCACUGUUCAUUAAUUGUGAUCCUCAACGGCACUUCACAGUCACUUCUGAAAUAGAAAAGAAAGUAAAGCUCAGACUGAAGAGUCCUUGAAUUGCUACAACCUACAUAAACUCAGCUCUUCAGCUCCUAUCUGCAAAGCCUCAGUGACAUAAAAUAGAAGACACCUGACUGAAUAAGGGAUUCUGAUUUUCAGCAUGGUAAGGUCUUCUGAAAUAAAUUAUAUCCAAUUCUUAAGAACAGUGGCAGAGAUAAUGUCUGCAUAUCUAGAUUCAGAAGUCUCAAGAUGAGCUACAAUAUCUGACUUUGUUAAGUAAAUCAGCAAAGAUGACAGUACUCAGAAAAAGUUUGUUAAAGAAAGCAUGUCACUCACAUCUUUGUUUUUGACUCUCUUUACCUGUUUAAGAUUGGAGC